CCUACGGGAGGCAGCAGUGAGGAAUAUUGGUCAAUGGGCGCGAGCCUGAACCAACCAAGUAGCGUGAAGGAUGACUGCCCUACGGGUUGUAAACUUCUUUUAUAAAGGAAUAAAGUGAGGCACGUGUGCCUUUUUGUAUGUACUUUAUGAAUAAGGAUCGGCUAACUCCGUGCCAGCAGCCGCGGUAAUACGGAGGAUCCGAGCGUUAUCCGGAUUUAUUGGGUUUAAAGGGAGCGUAGAUGGGUUGGUAAGUCAGUUGUGAAAGUUUGCGGCUCAACCGUAAAAUUGCAAUUGAUACCGGCAGUCGUGAGUACAGGUGAGGUAGGCGGAAUGCGUGGGGUAGCGGUGAAAUGCGUAGAUAUCACGAAGAACUCCGAUUGCGAAGGCAGCUUACUAAGCUGCCACUGACAGUGAGACUCGAAAGUGUGGGUAUCAAACAGGAUUAGAUACCCGGGUAGUG
RNAcentral lists this ribosomal RNA (460 nucleotides) under uncultured bacterium. RNAcentral describes it as "partial 16S ribosomal RNA". It matches the Rfam family "Bacterial small subunit ribosomal RNA", at positions 338 to 795 of the family's 1533-position model. The record is from RNAcentral.